UCCUCCGACUAGCCAAGUUCCGCCCACUUUUGUGUGGUUUUGUUUUUGUUUGUUUUGUUUGCUUGCUUUCACAAAGUCGUGUCUCUUGAAGCGGCGUGGCACCCAAGCUGAAACAAUUUUCUUGUUUCUUUACACUUGACGUAUUCGAAAAGGGCUAGAAAGGUGACUGAGAACGAACUUUUAGUGUGAAGCAACUGAAGAGAUAUAUUUUCAGAUUUUCUAACAGGAAAUUUUAUGUAUAGCAUGAUUUUAUAUUUGUGUAUGUCUCUGCAGACAUUUUUUGAGGUUUUAUGUUGUUGUUGUUGUGGUUUAAGUGUUUAUCCUGCCACAGGUUCUUAAACAGUUUGUGGCAAGAGAUCAGCAAAGAGAGGCUGGAAAGGCGACAUGGGGUCAAGAAAGCUGGCUGCUCUUGCAGAGAGAUCUGAUGUUCUCUUCUGGCCUCUUCAGACUCUGCAUGCAGGUGGUGCACAGACAUAAGUGGAGCCACAAUGAGGAUAUGAAGACAUUAAAGACUCAGGAUUCUCCAGCCACGUUAAGGAGAGCAUUGCACUCUGAGAUUUGCUAGAGCUAGGAUCACCUUGCAGCCUGAGCUAGAGCCUCUGCCCUUCAACUUAGAUGGGGCUACAAUCCAGAUCACUAAUCCUGACUUCAGCUAUAUCCACCAUAAUGAAAUACAGCAAAGGGGUAUGUAUUAGCUACUUUUCUGUUGUUGUGAUAAACCCACAACCAAGGCAACUUACAAAAAUAAGGAUUUGUUUUGGACUGUAGCUAAGCCAUUAUGGCAGCAAAACAUGGCAGCAGGUGGCAGGCAUGGCAGCCAGAGCAGAAGCUGAGACCUCACGUCUUUAACAGGAAGCAGGAAACAGAGAGAGCUAACUAGAAAUGUUAGGAGUCUAAACUCUCAAAGCCUGUCCCAGUGUCAUACUUCCUCCAGCAAGGCCACGCCUCCUCAACAUUCCCAAACAGUGCCAUGAACUGGAAGUAUUCAAAUGCCUGAGACAAUGUGGGACAGCUCGUUCACACCACCACAGAUUCUUGUUUUCAAUUAUGUUUAGUUUUAGAAUGUCGGUCUGUCUGUUAUUAUUAUGACAAUGUUUUCAGUUGUAUAUUGAAACAAACUGUCCAUCUUUUCAUUUUUGUUCAUCUUUUCUUCUAGUUUUCAAGCUCACUAAGCCUAAUUAUUUAAGUAUCCUGUCAGCUCUAAUACCUGGCUCUUAUUUGAUUAAAGUUUUCUCUUCGUGUUUAAUCAUUUGGAUCUGACUUUUAGAAUGGCUCACAAUUUUAUAUUGGAUUUGGAGAGUAAUAGAAAACGGAGAGACUUUGGUUAAUAUUCUUCAUCUUUAAAAGGUUACACUUUCUUCUGGGAGGUAGGAAGAAUGCCUGGUAGACCAUACUGAUCCUGCAAAGGCUUGGUUUCAAGCUAUGUCAUAUCUGUUCUCUUCCAGUAUCAUUGUGCCCUUAUUACAAGAGUCCUUUGACAGCCUCAGCAACAAGCUAUUGUGUAUUGAACCUCUAGGCUUGAAGUUCAACUUCUGCUGGGAGCCAAAAUUAUGCUUAGCAUAUUAGAUUCUGAGUGGCUGCUUUCCAGUAGGUUUCUUGGUAACUUUCUUUGUGUAUGCCAGGUUUAGUCAUAAGGUAAGCCACUAGCUUAAUGGGGAUUUAUUUCUAUCUGUAUUCAAGAACUCUUUCCCUGCACUUGACCCCUUUCUGGGAGCAUGUCUGCAGUCCCAGCCACUUUAGCUGCCCUGGGUUAUAGCCUUUAAUUCAACCUGGGGAUGCUAUUGUCUUUUACCUGGGCUCUGUUAUCUUCAAUCUAGUUUUGAAAAUUCCCUGGAAAUAGAAAGCCCAGCAUAAACUCAGUGCUCAUGCAUCAGGACGUAAACAUCAUAGGUCCAUGUUCUGCCGGCGCUGGUCACAUUACAAUGCCUUCAAAUGUAGAUCCUGCUUAAAAUGCUAUGCAAUUCUUAUGUACAAUUGCCACUUCCUCUGUAUCAUUCAGUUCCUUCUCUUUCUCACAGUGAAAGGGCUAAUUUGAUACAUUUACCCCAUCUUGGCAGGAGUAGGAAGUGAUAAUACUUACUAGCUUUGGGGUUUUCAACAGUUUCACUGAAACUGUUUAUCUACCUCAGUUAUGAAAAAUUACAUAGUCUCUUUAAAUUAUGGAAUUCUGUCCUUUUAUAUUUGUGC
Molecule: non-coding RNA, 2187 nt
Organism: Cricetulus griseus (Chinese hamster)
Lineage: Eukaryota; Metazoa; Chordata; Mammalia; Rodentia; Cricetidae
Source: RefSeq, a predicted model, not a curated record